Molecule: transfer RNA, 67 nt
Filed under: Nodularia douglasiae
Lineage: Eukaryota; Metazoa; Mollusca; Bivalvia; Unionida; Unionidae
Description: tRNA-Asn
Source: RNAcentral
AGGGAAGAAGCUACAGUUAUAGCAAUUAGUUGUUACCUAAGAGAAAGUGAACUUUUCACCUACCCUA